GAAAGGCUGCCACAUAAGAGCAGAAUAAGAAUAGGCAGUUAGUUGGUUAAAAGUGGGAGAGCCGCAAACAACAUGGAUCUGGAGCAGGAGUUCACAGCUGGGACAAAUUCCAUUUGGGCAUUUGUCUUUCCAGCCUCACGUCAAUUCUUAGAGAGCAGCACUGGGUACCCCACAGCCUUUGUACACUCAUCCUUCCCAGCACGGCAAGAGUGGAACCCCUCCCAGACUUCUUUUCCCUGCCUGCACUAGACCCCAUCCCUGUACCAUCUACCACUGCUCAGAAAUCUGUACAGCUCUCUCUAAAGAACUGAAUUUUAACUAAGUGUUAAGUCACUUUGGCUGCAGAUCUUCAUGUUACCAGAUAGGGCCCCUGUUGCUGCUGCUGCUGCUGCUGCCAAGUCACUUCAGUCGUGUCCAACUCUGUGCGACCCCAUAGACGGCAGCCCACCAGGCUCCCCCGUCCCUGGGAUUCUCCAGGCAAGAACACUGGAGUGGGUUGCCAUUCCUUCUCCAAGGCAUGAAAGUGAAAAGUGAAAGUGAAGUCGCUUAGUCGUGUCCGACUCCUAGCGACCCCGUGGACUGCAGCCUACCAGGCUCCUCCGUUCAUGGGACUCUUCAGGAACAAAAGAAGAUUUCUAAAAGAGAAAGCCGGUAAGAACUGCAGGCAAUAACUUCUACACCAGGCUGUGAAAGAUGCCCAGUUUCAGAUGCUUCCUGGGGCUGCCACGUCCACCGCACUCAACCUGGAGGGAAUGUAAGGGUCUUUCAAACCAACUGGCCCAAGGUAUCUGAAGGAUGAACUAGCCUAAAGAGAAAAUCAAUUCUAAGAAGCCAGGCAGAAUGAACUGGAAAGGGCAUUUGAACUAAAACAUGGGGUAAAACAAAUAAAUGUUACCAGAGACACUGAAGGAUUAAUGGAAGCUGAAUAAUUUUUGUAAAAGUGCUUAUGGUGUCUAAAGAACUCAUUCUUCAAGUAUAUCUUUUAAUAUAGCA
Molecule: long non-coding RNA, 993 nt
Organism: Dama dama (fallow deer)
Lineage: Eukaryota; Metazoa; Chordata; Mammalia; Artiodactyla; Cervidae
Exons: 3
Source: RefSeq, a predicted model, not a curated record